This 405-nucleotide ribosomal RNA is filed under the name uncultured bacterium. Its description in RNAcentral is "partial 16S ribosomal RNA". It matches the Rfam family "Bacterial small subunit ribosomal RNA", at positions 28 to 526 of the family's 1533-position model. The record is from RNAcentral.
GAUGAACGCUGGCGGCGUGCCUAAUACAUGCAAGUCGAGCGAAGCGGGGACGGGUGAGUAAUACGUGGAUAACCUCCUAUAAGACUGGGAUACCUUCGGGAAACCUGAUCUAAACCCGUUACUUAUAGAUUGAUCCGGGCUGCAUUGGCUAGUUGGUAAGGUAACGGCUUACCAAGGCAACGAUGCAUAGCCGACCUGAGAGGGUGAUCGGCCACACUGGAACUGAGACACGGUCCAGACUCCUACGGGAGGCAGCAGUGGGGAAUCUUCCGCAAUGGGCGAAAGCCUGACGGAGCCACGCCGCGUGAGUGAAGAAGGUCUUCGGAUCGUAAAGCACUGUAAGUAGGGAGGCGGUACCUAAAGAGAAAGCAACGGCUAACUACGUGCCAGCAGCCGCGGUAAUAC